Molecule: ribosomal RNA, 497 nt
Filed under: uncultured bacterium
Lineage: Bacteria
Description: partial 16S ribosomal RNA
Rfam family: Bacterial small subunit ribosomal RNA
Source: RNAcentral
GAUGAACGCUGGCGGCGUGCCUAACACAUGCAAGUCGAACGAACGGACGAUAAGCGUGCUCUUCUGCUGUUAGCGGCGGGCGGGUGAGUAACACGUGGAUCACCUACCUCUAUUACUUGGAUGACUUCGUGAGACCGCUGAUGCUACCGCAUAAUACUUCCAACCGCAUGAUUCAAGAGUGCUUGGCAGUCUUGCUGUUUCUAUUAGCUGGAUCCGCGUUGCAUUAGCUAGUUGGUAAGGUAACGGCGUACCAAGGCAACGAUGCGUAGCCGACCUGAGAGGGUGAUCGGCCACACUGGAACUGAGACACGGUCCAGACUCCUACGGGAGGCAGCAGUAGGGAAUCUUCCGCAAUGGGCGAAAGCCUGACGGAGCAAUGCCGCGUGAGUGAAGAAGGUCUUCGGGUCGUAAAACUCUGUUAUUGGGGAAGAACAGAUGUGUAAGUAACUGUGCACAUCUUGACGGUACCUAAAGAGAAAGCCACGGCUAACUACGUG